This 308-nucleotide long non-coding RNA is filed under the name Sus scrofa (pig). Its description in RNAcentral is "lncRNA (ENSSSCG00070013912.1)". The record is from RNAcentral. Lineage: Eukaryota; Metazoa; Chordata; Mammalia; Artiodactyla; Suidae.
GGCGUGUCCGGGGAAAAGGGGAGGGAUGAAUCGGAAAGGAAGGAUGUCGUGGGAGGCUGGAGGAGCUGGGAGGGAGCCGAGGCGGGGCGGGGGCGGAGCGGGGGGCGUGGCGGAACGGGCGCGCUGUCACGUGACGUGCGUGGCGACGUGUCGGCCAUCUUGUGUUGUUGAGGCUGAGACUGACUUGGGUUCUGAGAGACACCCUGUCCCGGACCGCAGUGUUAAAAGGACCUGAACAAAGUCUGCUCAAACCUCUUGCUGUGAACCAGCAGAACUUUUGGACAGGUUUCUCCACAUUUAAAAAUCUG